CCCUUAGAUGUCCGGGGCUGCACGCGCGCUACACUGAAGGAAUCAUCGUGCUAAAACCAUUGUCGAAAGGCAUUGGUAAACCCAUUAAAAUCCUACGUGAUUGGGAUCGGGAAUUGCAAUUAUUUCCCUUGAACGAGGAAUUCCCAGUAAGUGUGGGUCAUAAGCUCGCGUUGAUUACGUCCCUGCCCUUUGUACACACCGCCCGUCGCUGCCCGGGACUGAGCCGUUUCGAGAAAAGCGGGGACUGCUGCUGUCGGGGCUUUCGGGCCUUGGCUUCGGUGGAAACCGCUUUAAUCGCAGUGGCUUGAACCGGGCAAAAGUCGUAACA
RNAcentral lists this ribosomal RNA (328 nucleotides) under uncultured eukaryote. RNAcentral describes it as "partial 18S ribosomal RNA". It matches the Rfam family "Eukaryotic small subunit ribosomal RNA", at positions 1470 to 1796 of the family's 1831-position model. The record is from RNAcentral.